Molecule: ribosomal RNA, 406 nt
Filed under: uncultured bacterium
Lineage: Bacteria
Description: partial 16S ribosomal RNA
Rfam family: Bacterial small subunit ribosomal RNA
Source: RNAcentral
GAUGAACGCUAGCUACAGGCUUAAUACAUGCAAGUCGAGGGACCGGCGCACGGGUGAGUAACACGUAUCCAACCUGCCCUUUACUCGGGGAUAGCCUUUCGAAAGAAAGAUUAAUACCCGAUGUAAAGGAUGGGGAUGCGUUCCAUUAGGUUGUUGGUGAGGUAUCGGCCCACCAAGCCUUCGAUGGAUAGGGGUUCUGAGAGGAAGGACCCCCACAUUGGAACUGAGACCCGGUCCAAACUCGUAGGGGAGGCAGCAGUGAGGAAUAUUGGUCAGUGGGCGUUAGCCUGAACCAGCCAAGUAGCGUGAAGGAUGAAGGCUUAUGGGUCGUAAACUUCUUUUAUAUAAGAAUAUGUAUUAUAUGAAUAAGGAUCGGCUAACUCCGUGCCAGCAGCCGCGGUAAUUC